RNAcentral lists this non-coding RNA (44 nucleotides) under Schistosoma mansoni. The record is from RNAcentral. Lineage: Eukaryota; Metazoa; Platyhelminthes; Trematoda; Strigeidida; Schistosomatidae.
ACCCAGUUGAUGAGUCCAAGUAGGACGAAACGCGCGUCCAGGAU